UGAAUCAUCGAUUCCCGUCCGAUUACAGAAGAUAAGCAACGUCGCGCCUGGUCAGUACCUGGAUAGGUGACCCGCUUGGCAAUACCAGGUCCUGUAA
Molecule: non-coding RNA, 97 nt
Organism: Acanthosepion pharaonis
Lineage: Eukaryota; Metazoa; Mollusca; Cephalopoda; Sepiida; Sepiidae
Source: the annotation of a GenBank genome assembly